RNAcentral lists this long non-coding RNA (594 nucleotides) under Nicotiana benthamiana. RNAcentral describes it as "long non-coding RNA (NBEN_LNC022312)". The record is from RNAcentral. Lineage: Eukaryota; Viridiplantae; Streptophyta; Magnoliopsida; Solanales; Solanaceae.
AUGAGCAAAAAAAUAGAAAGAUAGAGAAAUCCCUAAUCCGGGUCACUGGGGUACUAAACAAGUGCUGGAGACAGGAUCUAGGAGUCCUAAGGCUUGGAGGAACUAGAGGGCUUAGGAUUGAGUUUGGAGAAGAAUCAACAUGUUCUGAAAAACUCCAUCAUUCUUCCUAUUUUCUUUGGCAAGCUCAGAUCUGAGACCAUUCCUCUCAACUUCUACUUCAACCACACGUGCCUUGAGCCUUUCUAUUUCAGCAUCCUUGGCAGCAUAUUCCUAAACCAGACGCCUAACCUUGCUAUUAAUGGGUGUCCUCUGGGAUGAACCGGGUUCAUAUGGGAUGGCAUUGACUAGAUAGUCACAAGCAAGCAGAGUAUUGAUGCCAAAGUGUUCCUUGCUUGAGACUAUUUCCCAUUUCUUUAGAGGUACAUUUAGCCUGUUUAUAGCUAUGGUUAGAAUAAAGCCAUAUGGUGUACCAUGAGCCUUUCAGCCAUUUAUGACCCUGUCUAGAAACUUGACAAUGAAAGCAGGUCAACUGAUUUGCUUUCCUCUCUCCAGGCACUCCAUAAGAACCAGAUCCAUGUAGUUAGCAGUGUGCCU